Molecule: ribosomal RNA, 699 nt
Filed under: Triticum aestivum (bread wheat)
Lineage: Eukaryota; Viridiplantae; Streptophyta; Magnoliopsida; Poales; Poaceae
Description: partial small subunit ribosomal RNA
Source: RNAcentral
AUGGGAGUGAAGGUGUGUCGUGAUGCUUCUUCGGUAUCUCAUCUUUUAUUUGCGGAUGACUCUCUUAUCCUUAUGCGAGCAGAUGCCACUAAUGCUAUCAGCCUCCGGCGGGCACUUGAUGAUUAUUGUGCAGCUUCUGGACAAAUGGUGAGCGAGGCCAAGUCCAGUAUUUUCUUUAGUCCUUGCACCCCUGUUGAUAUUAGAGUGGAGGUUUGCACUGCACUAAAUAUCAUGGUGGAAGCCAUCACAGAUAAAUAUUUGGGAUUGCCUCCAAUUGUAGGUGUGGACAGAACAGAUUGUUUUCAACACCUCAUUGACAGAGUUUUGAGUAGAAUAAGAGGUUGGAAAGAGAAAUUGUUAUCCUACGGAGGUAGGGAAGUGCUACUUAAAGCUGUCAUACAAGCUAUUCCUUCUUACGCUAUGUCAGUUUUUAAACUACCCAAACUGGUUUGCAAUAGUAUCACCACAGCUAUGUCUAAAUAUUGGUGGGGAGAUGAUGAUCUGCAAAAACACAUGCACUGGUUUGCUUGGUGGAAAGUGUGUGUCCCAAAGGAAAAGGGUGGAAUGGGUUUUAGAGACUUGCAUUGUUUUAAUUUGGCUCUUCUCACAAAGCAGUGUUGGAGGUUGUUAUGUGAACCAAAUUCUUUAUGUUCUAGAGUUUUGAGAGCAAAAUAUUUUUCUGAUGGAGACCUUCUUAAC